This 453-nucleotide long non-coding RNA is filed under the name Malus domestica (apple). RNAcentral's name for it is "long non-coding RNA (MDOM_LNC017399)". Lineage: Eukaryota; Viridiplantae; Streptophyta; Magnoliopsida; Rosales; Rosaceae. The record is from RNAcentral.
GAAACACGUCAUCUGACUUGCACGCCAAUUCUGAGGUCGAUUUCUCUUCUAGAAAAUUCUGUAAAAAUAUGGGAAACAUAACGUUAUCUCUUAUCUUUUCAGGCAUAUAUCGCACACUACUAGGAAAAAUCGGGAAAGCCUUCAAUUCGUCAUUUUUCCACAGCUGCGCAGUUCUGACCAGAAAACAACUUCUGUGGUAUUAACUUUGAAAACCGGAACAUUUGGCUUUAGGGAAAGUUAUGAAAUUUAGAUACAAUGAUCAUUAGCCUCUUAGCUUCCUUCUCCAAUUGGCGUUGUAUCAAAACUUUUCCAGAAAGUCCACGUAUUAGCACAAACGUCCUACUUGCGCAGAUUGGCUGAAACUUGCCAUUUUUUGCUUGGAAUUUGCUUCCUUCUUUUGGUUGGAAUGUACUUCCUUCUUUUGAUUUUCCUUUUUCUAUUUGGUAUGUAUUC